Molecule: unclassified non-coding RNA, 163 nt
Filed under: uncultured Auriculariales
Lineage: Eukaryota; Fungi; Basidiomycota; Agaricomycetes; Auriculariales
Description: sequence contains ITS1
Source: RNAcentral
AAGAUUCUGACCUUCGGGUCUAACUUUUCAGCUGUGCGCUUCGGCUGCACGCUGAUAAAACCUUACACACCUGUGCACAUUUCGGUCGCAAUCCUGCAUGCAGGUUUGCUUCCGCUUUCACAUACAACCACAUGUCUUGAAUGUAAAAAAACUAUAAAAGUAA